This 89-nucleotide microRNA precursor is filed under the name Sorghum bicolor (sorghum). RNAcentral describes it as "MIR1432 microRNA precursor family". It matches the Rfam family "MIR1432 microRNA precursor family". The record is from Rfam by way of RNAcentral. Lineage: Eukaryota; Viridiplantae; Streptophyta; Magnoliopsida; Poales; Poaceae.
GCUCAGGAGAGAUGACACCGACGUCGGACGGACCGGUCGAUCCGCGCCGUGUCUGUCCGUCCGAAGUGGGUGUCAUCUCGCCUGAAGCA